CCUCUGUGGAAGAUACAGAAGGGAGAAGAGUUAAAGAACAGGGAAUUUGAUAAAGAUUGGUAAUUAAGCAGAAUAACAACGCGCCAACAAGCAACUAAGUGAGGAAAAAAGGAGGAAAAGGGAGAAGGGAAGGCGACCACUUCUAUGUUAAUUAACUAAAAGGCCAAAAGAAAAGAAGGCGAAGUGAAGCUCAUAUCGGUGCGAUGGGCCAAAAACAGUAGCUUGUUAGCCAAGAAUGCCGCUCAUAUCCAGCGGAUACGUUUUGUAUCUCGUUUGACAGACGCCGCCGAUAAAGAUAGAAGAGCAGAAUGCAGAGCUAAAGUUGUUGCCGAGUGUUGAAAUCGAAAGGAGAGCAAAAACUUGUGUGCGCCUUAAUUGGAUGAAAAUUGUUGAAAUAUUUAAAGCGGACAAUGGUAAAAAGACUGAAGAAGAUGCUUUUAUUAUCCUUUUGUGUUGCACAGCGCAGACAACAACAACAACAAGAACUUGAGCACACAUAACUCAAAAAUGUUGUAUGCGUGUUUUGGGGAAGAAAUCCUUUUCUGGUCCAGCCUAAUCAAAAUGCCUCAUGUGGCAGCGUCUCGCCUGAAACUUGAGAAGACCUCAAGAGGGAGAUAGAGUGCCAGAGAGGAAGAGAGAGAGUGUGAGAGAUCCCAAGAGCCUCUUCUUCGUUGCUGUUUAUGCAAAAAUGAAAUACAAAUUUGAAAUUUGAACUUUUUCGAUCUUGUGCUUGCUCUUUUUUAUUUUAUUUUUUUUUUAAUUAAAAGUCUCGCAGCGCUUGCAGCUGCAACGACGCGAUGAGGCACGCAAAAAUCGAAGCACGCAGAGGGCAAGAAAACAGAAUAUAAAAGAAAAGGCUGCAAUUCAAUUAAAAUGCGGGUGAGCAGCAACAGCAGCAGACAGUGGCCAAGAUUAGGCGUACAACGGGGCGUGGCUGGGUCGAGGCACAAAUUGAAGCCGGACAGACGUCUGGACGAUGGAAUGGGAAAGGUAAGAGGUCGUCACACACAGGUAGAAGCUGAGCUUCAGCUUUAGCCUCUCCAACUUCAAUUUCAGCUCCCCGAUUUUCAAUUUGAUUUCUUAUAUAUAUUCGUACGUAUUUUUUUUUGGGGCAGCGUUGCGAAAUUGUAAGUUAUGAUUUUCAUUUCCUUUUUGGAAAUUUGGAAUAAUACUCACUUGUCUUCUCCUGAUAAUAAUGAUCGUCGGUGUCUGUGAAGAACCAGGUCUGUAAGCGCAAGAAAAAGAAUGCGAUUAAUCAUUGAUGAUGUAAAAAAAAAACCAAAAUAAAAUCGAGGCAGCGAAAGUUGCUCAGAUUUGCAUACUUCAUAUGUUUACGAGGCGUAGUAGACUCAUCUACAUAGCGAGUAGGAGCAGCGCCUAUUCUUACAAGAUUUCGAGACAAUCAGAUAAGAAAUAUUCCCACACACACACACACUAGCCGGAAAAAAAAACAUACGUCAAAAAAGCGCCCAAAGAAAACGAAACGAAACUUGUAGGGAAAAAAACUGUGGUUGAACUAACAUCAAGAAACAACUCAAGCAAAAAAACUUGAAGAGCACGCCAAGAGAGGAUUCAACUUGAUUGACUCGAAGUUACCCUGCAUUAUUAUUACAUUUUGUUGAA
Drosophila sulfurigaster albostrigata is the source of this 1623-nucleotide long non-coding RNA. RefSeq lists it as uncharacterized. The record is from RefSeq and is a predicted model, not a curated record. The transcript has 3 exons. Lineage: Eukaryota; Metazoa; Arthropoda; Insecta; Diptera; Drosophilidae.